AAACCAGACUCCUACGGGAGGCAGCAGUGAGGAAUAUUGGUCAAUGGGCUUACGCCUGAACCAGCCAAGUCGCGUGAGGGAAGACUGCCCUAUGGGUUGUAAACCUCUUUUGUCAGGGAGCAACGCCGGCUACGUGUAGCCGGACUGAGAGUACCUGAAGAAAAAGCAUCGGCUAACUCCGUGCCAGCAGCCGCGGUAAUACGGAGGAUCCGAGCGUUAUCCGGAUUUAUUGGGUUUAAAGGGAGCGUAGAUGGGUUGUUAAGUCAGUUGUGAAAGUUUGCGGCUCAACCGUAAAAUUGCAAUUGAUACUGGCAGCCUUGAGUACAGUUGAGGUAGGCGGAAUUCGUGGUGUAGCGGUGAAAUGCUUAGAUAUCAUGAAGAACUCCGAUCGCGGAGGCAAGUGUCCGGGGUGCAACUGACGCUGAGGCUCGAAAGUGCGGGUAUCAAACAGGAUUAGAUACCCGGGUACA
This 470-nucleotide ribosomal RNA is filed under the name uncultured bacterium. RNAcentral describes it as "bacterial SSU rRNA". It matches the Rfam family "Bacterial small subunit ribosomal RNA", at positions 328 to 794 of the family's 1533-position model. The record is from RNAcentral.